Molecule: ribosomal RNA, 544 nt
Filed under: uncultured bacterium
Lineage: Bacteria
Description: bacterial SSU rRNA
Rfam family: Bacterial small subunit ribosomal RNA
Source: RNAcentral
UACCGAAAGGGGCGGUAAUACCAAAUAAUAUCAUUUGUCGAUAGGCGAAUGAUCAAAGAUUUAUCGGCAUAGGAGCGGCCUGCCUCCUAUCAGCUUGUUGGUGAGGUAACGGCUCACCAAGGCAGCGACGGGUAGCGGGACUGAGAGGUUGGCCCGCAACAUCGGGACUGAGACACUGCCCGGACCUCCACGGAGGGCUGCAGUAACGAAUAUUGUGCAAUGGGCGAAAGCCUGACACAGCGACGCCGCGUGUAGGAGGAAGUCCCUCGGGAUGUAAACUACUGUCAGGGGUAAGAAAGUGCGCUUCGGUGCAUUGAUCUAACCCAAAGGAAGUCACGGCUAACUUCGUGCCAGCAGCCGCGGUAAGACGAAGGUGGCAAGCGUUGUUCGGUAUCACUGGGCUUAAAGCGUGUGUAGGCGGAAAAGUAAGCGUUUCGUGAAAGCCCCCGGCUCAACCGGGGAAUUGCGCAACGAACUGCUUUUCUUGAGGCAAGUAGGGGUGCAUGGAACUCUUGGUGGAGCGGUGGAAUGCGUAGAUAUCAAG